Molecule: transfer RNA, 86 nt
Filed under: Dehalococcoidia bacterium
Lineage: Bacteria; Bacillati; Chloroflexota; Dehalococcoidia
Description: tRNA-Ser
Rfam family: tRNA
About the family: Transfer RNA (tRNA) molecules are approximately 80 nucleotides in length. Their secondary structure includes four short double-helical elements and three loops (D, anti-codon, and T loops). Further hydrogen bonds mediate the characteristic L-shaped molecular structure. tRNAs have two regions of fundamental functional importance: the anti-codon, which is responsible for specific mRNA codon recognition, and the 3' end, to which the tRNAs corresponding amino acid is attached (by aminoacyl-tRNA synthetases). tRNAs cope with the degeneracy of the genetic code in two manners: having more than one tRNA (with a specific anti-codon) for a particular amino acid; and 'wobble' base-pairing, i.e. permitting non-standard base-pairing at the 3rd anti-codon position.
Source: RNAcentral
GGAGGGGUGACCGAGUGGUUUAAGGUGCCGCUCUCGAAAAGCGGUGUCAUCUCUGGUGACCGUGGGUUCGAAUCCCACCCCCUCCG